GAUUGGUGCAUUUAUAAUCCUUUAGCUAGACAAGGAAGUUCUCCAAGUCCCCACUAGAUUAGCUAGACACAGAGCACUGAUUGGUGCGUUUACAAACUUUGAGCUAGACACAGGGUGCUGAUUGGUGCGUUUACAAACCUUGAGAUAGACACAAAGUGCUGAUUGGUGCAUUUACAAACCUUUAGCUAGACAUAAAAGUUCUCCAAGUGCCCACCCCACUCAGGAACCCAGCUGGCUUCCCUAGUGGGUCUGGUGUAGGUCCGCUGGCGGAGCUGCCAGCCGGACACACGCCCCACGCCCGCACUUCUCAGCCCUUCCGCGGUCCAUGGGUCCGGCCGUCGUGGAGCAGGGGGCGGCGCCCGUCGGGGAGGCUCCAGCCGCGCGGGAGCCAACGAUCUCCUCCGGGAGUGGUGGGCAGCUACUGUGAAAGGCCUGGUUCAAAAACCUCACAGCGGUUGUUUUCAGAGUUGUCCCUCCUGUGUACUCUCAAAGCCCCAGAAUGAAGCAAAGCAUCCUCCCUUUUCAAACUGGCACUCUUCCCCAACCUUGAGGACCACUAGGCACUUUGUUUUUAAAGCCACAGUUACUUUUAUGGAGAAGUAUUGUUAUGAAAAAAGGGAGGCAUCUGAGGAGUGGAAACAGAGAAAUGAGUGACUGAGAUCAGUGUCUUAUUUUGACCAUCUUUUCCAAGUGCUGCAUCCUCCCAAACACAACAUGAACUCAACACUUAAUAAAGCUGCAGUCCUACGUGUUUUAUUUGUGUAAGAAACUAAGUCCAAAACAUUCUGCAACGCGAGUAAAAAUUCACUUCUGCAAUAUAUUAAACACACAUGAACACAGUGUUUUCAGUUUGAAGCAAGAUACUGUGGACUCUAAAAUAUCCAGUAACUAUAUUUAGUAUGAAGAGUGGAUGUUUAUAUCUAGUUGGCCAACACAUUGAUUCUAGUCAUCCACUUAGGAAGAAGAGGGUGUGGCAAAUCUGCAGCCUAGGAAAACACAAACUCAGUUUCUUCGUAAUAGAUACUGAUUCGUUUUGUUUACAAAGAUUUUAAAAAACAGUUAUGCAUUCAAAUACUUUAAAAACGAAAAUAACUUUAUGGUUUGAUUUAUUUCCGUUGAAUUUUAAAGAACUUUGUAGCAAGGUUUAAGAUUGCUUAAAGAGCCUGAGUUCGGAUUCCUAAAAUAGUGCAUUGGGAAGGAAGCAUAAAUCUCUAGGAUAUUUUCUUCACAUUAUCUUCAGACAUGACCAAAUGAAGUGUAACUACCCUUACACUCUAAGAGAAUUAAACUAUAAUGACAUAUGUGGCAUGAAACUUUAGUCUUUCUCUGGAAAAAACGGGAGGAGGGAAGGUUUGGAAGAACUAGAGGAUACUAGUUUCAUCAUGAAUUUGGUGAUUUGUUCCAAAGUAAAUUGCAAUAAAAAUGAGGGGUGGGGAAAAAUGAUGGAAAGAUAGCUGUGAAGAGCUUUACUUAAAAUUGUCUUAGCUGUUUAGCUAGGAACUGUAAUUAGAAGGACUGGAGGAUGUAUUCCGCUGGCUUUAUUCUCCAGGCUCUACGGGCCCUCCAAUUUGAAUAAACCUGGAAAACUCUCCUGACCUCUAUUUCUUUGACAAAACAUCUUUCUUUCGUGGUGACUUCCAAGGGAGGAAAUUGGUACCCCAAGCUAGCCGUGAGGACCCCACCACAUGCCCAAGGCAUUGAACGCCAGACUCCCUAAGGACUCAGGGAUUCUAAAAGUCCCCUCUCAAAUCAGCGCCUAAAAUACGCCUGUACAGCCACGCGCUACCGCUCCCAGCAGCGCGGGACUUCGGGACAGGGACAAGGCGGACGCUAGGCGUGCGCCCCCGGGGAGCCCCCACGUUCCGGCCACGCCCACCCUGGCCCUGGGCAGCCGCGCCCGGGAGGCCUGGCACCGAGGCGGGCGGGUCCCCGAGUUAGGGGCCCGCGAGUCGGCUGGGCGCCCCCGCCUCUGCCCGGGCAGUGCCCCGCCGAGUGCUCAGAACUGCGGACAAAUAGGCUGGAGGGCCGGGCCGCGGAAGGCGUUCCCACACCGGCCAGUCUCCGUCCACCAGGAAGCAAACUCCUCG
RNAcentral lists this long non-coding RNA (2087 nucleotides) under Homo sapiens (human). RNAcentral's name for it is "HSALNT0376692". The record is from RNAcentral. Lineage: Eukaryota; Metazoa; Chordata; Mammalia; Primates; Hominidae.